Molecule: long non-coding RNA, 224 nt
Organism: Tachyglossus aculeatus (Australian echidna)
Lineage: Eukaryota; Metazoa; Chordata; Mammalia; Monotremata; Tachyglossidae
Exons: 2
Source: RefSeq, a predicted model, not a curated record
CUCAGAGCUAGUGAACCAGGCCAGUGGGGAUGCAGAUGGAGUUUCAGUUUCAGAGGAAAGUUUCAGCUCACCUGCAUGUUCUGUGUAGGGGAAUGGAUAACCCCAGCCGCUCAGACUGGAAAAAUCUGUCACUAAAAUGCUUUCGGAGCAUGGCCUCGGCUGCUAAACAUAAGAUCAUCGUACUUCUGGUGAAAAAACCCCCAAAAUAAAACAGAGUCAGCGAG